CACAAUAAAAUAUGAAGGCUGUACGCGGCUGUGCUCUCGGGCCAGUUUUGCGGAGGCUGAAUUAUUUAUUACCCUUGUCUUUUGCGCACUUGUUGUUUCCUGGGCGGGUCCGCCCGCCACCAGGACCACACCAUAAACCUUUUUUAUGCAGUUGCAAUCAGCGUCAGUAUAACAAAUGUAAAUCAUUUA
This 189-nucleotide unclassified non-coding RNA is filed under the name soil metagenome. Its description in RNAcentral is "partial internal transcribed spacer 1". The record is from RNAcentral.